RNAcentral lists this ribosomal RNA (497 nucleotides) under uncultured bacterium. RNAcentral's name for it is "partial 16S ribosomal RNA". It matches the Rfam family "Bacterial small subunit ribosomal RNA", at positions 28 to 507 of the family's 1533-position model. The record is from RNAcentral.
GAUGAACGCUGGCGGCGUGCCUAAUACAUGCAAGUCGAGCGAACGGACGAGAAGCUUGCUUCUCUGAUGUUAGCGGCGGACGGGUGAGUAACACGUGGAUAACCUACCUAUACGACUGGGAUAACUUCGGGAAACCGGAGCUAAUACCGGAUGAUAUUUUGAACCGCAUGGUUCAAAAGUGAAAGACGGUCUUGCUGUCACUUAUAGAUGGAUCCGCGCUGCAUUAGCUAGUUGGUAAGGUAACGGCUUACCAAGGCAACGAUGCAUAGCCGACCUGAGAGGGUGAUCGGCCACACUGGAACUGAGACACGGUCCAGACUCCUACGGGAGGCAGCAGUAGGGAAUCUUCCGCAAUGGGCGAAAGCCUGACGGAGCAACGCCGCGUGAGUGAUGAAGGUCUUCGGAUCGUAAAACUCUGUUAUUAGGGAAGAACAUAUGUGUAAGUAACUGUGCACAUCUUGACGGUACCUAAUCAGAAAGCCACGGCUAACUACGUG